CUAGUAGAGUCGACAUGGAAAAGAAAAAAAAAACAGUAGAGCAGAGCCGAUGAUAACGAGUGUGCUCUGCUGCUCCAUCCAUCCCCACCAAGAUCCGGCCAGGUUUCUUGUCCAUCCCCGGCGGCGGCGGGCCUGUCUUGGCCACCGGAGAGCGAGCGAGCGAGCGAGGCGUUGCCGUCGCUGCAGCGCGGCCGAGUGCGAGCAGGGGGACGCGCGCCGGCCGGUGUGUAUGGUAAGUUUGGAGGAGGUAUAGUGCAUAGCAGAGCAGAGCAGGGGAGCUGGCCGCAAACAGAGAACGUUGUGCUCCUAAACAACUAGUACUAUCUUCAGCAAAGCUAGCCAACCAGGGACCUAGAAUCUCCAUCACUCCAUCACCUCGAGUCUCAAGCAAUGGGCAGUGAACUGCUCGCAGCAACGGUUGCACCACCAGCGGAGCAUCCCUUGAUCCUGUCCACGACCACUACCACCACUACCGCCGGCAACGGAACCAUCACAACAAUCACCACCACCACAUGCUCCUCCGCUGCCAAUGGCAGCACUACCACUACCACCACUACCGCCGGCGACGGAACCACCACCAGAACCGCCACAACAAUCACCACCACCAGAUGCUCCUCCACCGCCGCCGAUGGCACCAGUACCACAACCACCACAACCACCACCACGACCACAACAAGAACCACCACAAGCACCUCCAACGCCACAACCAUUUCAUCCCACUGUGAUGAGGAAUUUGAAAUUUGAUGGCUGUGCCCAUCUGUAUGAUAUGCCUUGACCUCCUUCUUUGGUUGGUGAUGAUGGGAGCACAGGGCAUGAAGUUGAAGCUUCUCACCGAAGCCUGCAGUUGUUUGUCAUAUGAGGAAAUUGAAUGGAAAUUUGUGGGUACGAGCUAACAGUUAUCGGUUACUGUUUUGUUGAUGCAAAAUAUUAUCUAGAAACCUUGUAUCUUAAGUAAUUGUUAUUGCCAUAGAAACCUUUAGAUGCUUCUCUUGCAACUAUUGGUACGGUUCUGGAACUAAUGGAUUUCAUGGACGAUUGGGUUUUCAUC
Triticum dicoccoides is the source of this 1048-nucleotide long non-coding RNA. RefSeq lists it as uncharacterized. Lineage: Eukaryota; Viridiplantae; Streptophyta; Magnoliopsida; Poales; Poaceae. The transcript is spliced from 3 exons. The record is from RefSeq and is a predicted model, not a curated record.